UGGGGAAUAUUGCGCAAUGGGCGAAAGCCUGACGCAGCAACGCCGCGUGAGUGAUGAAGGCCUUCGGGUUGUAAAGCUCUUUCGGCCGAGAAGAAGGGUCAUUUGUCGAAUAGGCAUUUUGAUUUGAUGGUAUCGGAAGAAGAAGCACCGGCUAACUUCGUGCCAGCAGCCGCGGUACUACGAAGGGCGCGAGCGUUGUCCGGAAUUACUGGGGGUAAAGGGCGUGUAGGGGGGGCGUUAAGGCGAAUG
RNAcentral lists this ribosomal RNA (249 nucleotides) under uncultured organism. RNAcentral describes it as "partial 16S ribosomal RNA". It matches the Rfam family "Bacterial small subunit ribosomal RNA", at positions 355 to 594 of the family's 1533-position model. The record is from RNAcentral.